UGCUGGUCUACCUAGAAUCUCCAGUGCUAAUCCUUGAGUGGUAAAUAUGAGGGUGAGUGCUGGUGUUAUUUGGGGCCACUAGGUGUCACUGUUUAAAUGAAGACUUCCGCACUUUAUUGUAAGGGAUGAAAGUGAAUGGGUUGGCUGGGCUUAGAAGUUUGUUCACUGGUUGAGCUGAGGAUGAUUAAAGUUAUCCCUGUCUGAAAUGACAUCUGUGUGGAGUUCUGACUUACUGAGGCUCAACUUUUAAACGUGUUUAAGGUAGUUGCUGUGAGAAUGAAGUUUGUUUUCCUUUCAGAUUGAAGAUGUUGACUGUGGACUUUGAAGGAAGUCAUGUGAAAACUCAUCUUACAAUGCUUACAAUGUUGAGUUGAAGGAUCUUCAUGAUGAAAUUUCCAUAAACGGUAAGACUUCUAGAUAAUAUUCUCCCUCCCAUCCUCAGGGAGCUCCACUGGUUCCAGACCUGGGCCUAGACCCAAAGUGUAUGAUUCAUGUAAGCAGAGAAGACCUGUGAGUCUCAGGUGGGGUGUUCUUUUGCUGGGCCUGCCCUGGUCUUAAGGCUGUGAAAAGUGGCUGGGAGACUUUAACUUAGUUUGGUUUUCUUUGCUAGGUAUUUGUGAUAUGAGACAACGCUGAAUGGCUUUGCAGGCAAAUAAUAAGAUGGUUCUCCUGAUGUCUGUUAUCUCCCUGUGCUGGACCGGCUCUAACAUCAAUAAAACCAUCUCCCCAAAAUCAAAAAAGUUCCUUAGGUUUCAUCUAAGAAAGCUUUGGCAGUUGGUGAAAUUAU
Molecule: long non-coding RNA, 787 nt
Organism: Octodon degus (degu)
Lineage: Eukaryota; Metazoa; Chordata; Mammalia; Rodentia; Octodontidae
Exons: 3
Source: RefSeq, a predicted model, not a curated record